This 253-nucleotide ribosomal RNA is filed under the name uncultured Eubacteriales bacterium. RNAcentral describes it as "uncultured Clostridiales bacterium partial 16S ribosomal RNA". It matches the Rfam family "Bacterial small subunit ribosomal RNA", at positions 524 to 776 of the family's 1533-position model. The record is from RNAcentral. Lineage: Bacteria; Bacillati; Bacillota; Clostridia; Eubacteriales.
UACGUAGGGGGCAAGCGUUGUCCGGAAUGACUGGGCGUAAAGGGAGUGUAGACGGCCUUUUAAGUUAUAUGUGAAAGCCCCCGGCUUAACCGAGGAACUGCAUAUAAAACUGGAGGGCUGGAGUGCAGGAGAGGUGAGUGGAAUUCCUAGUGUAGCGGUGGAAUGCGUAGAUAUUAGGAGGAACACCAGAGGCGAAGGCGACUCACUGGACUGUAACUGACGCUGAGGCUCGAAAGCGUGGGGAGCAAACAGG